This 84-nucleotide microRNA precursor is filed under the name Homo sapiens (human). Its description in RNAcentral is "mir-548 microRNA precursor family". It matches the Rfam family "mir-548 microRNA precursor family". The record is from Rfam by way of RNAcentral. Lineage: Eukaryota; Metazoa; Chordata; Mammalia; Primates; Hominidae.
UGUUAGGUUGGUGCAACAGUAAUUGCUGUUUUUGCCAUUGAAAGUAAUGGCAAAAACUUCAAUUACUUUUGCACCAACCUAAUA